GCCAGUAGUAAAGUUGCAGAACAACAGAGGAAACAACAAAUACUCAUACACCAGCAACUCUGACGAUAACCUGCUGAAGAACAUUGAACUGUUUGACAAACUCGUCCUGCGAUUUAAUGGCCGCGUCCUGUUUGUCAAAGACGUGCUGGGGGAUGAGAUCUGCUGCUGGUCUUUUUAUGGCGAAGGCCGCAAGAUUGCUGAAGUGUGCUGCACUUCCAUUGUCUAUGCUACAGAGAAGAAGCAGACCAAAGUUGAGUUUCCCGAAGCCCGAAUAUUCGAAGAAACCCUCAAUAUCCUCAUCUAUGAGAACAACAGAGGAUCUGGACCAGGAGGCUUGCACCUUUUAGAUUCAAGAGGCUCCGGUUCAUCGCUGGGAACUGGUCAGUCAGAGGAAGAGGGUGCCGUGGGAGGGAUAGACGAGUACGACGGAUCCACGUAAGGAGACACAUAAUGCAUGAUGAAAGAGGCCACGGUCAGCAAACUGUGUAUAAGGACUAAUAAUGUGAAAACAAGGCAGGGAAAGGGACUUAAAAAAAAAAUCCCAACAUAGUUUUUUUUGUUUGUUGUUUUUUUGUUUUU
This is a long non-coding RNA of Oreochromis aureus, 579 nucleotides long. The record is from Ensembl. NCBI's taxonomy places the organism in Eukaryota, Metazoa, Chordata, Actinopteri, Cichliformes, Cichlidae.